GAUGAACGCUGGCGGCGUGCCUAAUACAUGCAAGUCGAGCGAACGGACGAGAAGCUUGCUUCUCUGAUGUUAGCGGCGGACGGGUGAGUAACACGUGGAUAACCUACCUAUAAGACUGGGAUAACUUCGGGAAACCGGAGCUAAUACCGGAUAAUAUUUUGAACCGCAUGGUUCAAAAGUGAAAGACGGUCUUGCUGUCACUUAUAGAUGGAUCCGCGCUGCAUUAGCUAGUUGGUAAGGUAACGGCUUACCAAGGCAACGAUGCAUAGCCGACCUGAGAGGGUGAUCGGCCACACUGGAACUGAGACACGGUCCAGACUCCUACGGGGAGCAGCAGUAGGGAAUCUUCCGCGAUGGGCGAAAGCCUGACGGAGCAACGCCGCGUGAGUGAUGAAGGUCUUCGGAUCGGAAAACUCUGUUAUUAGGGAAGAACAUAUGUGUAAGUAACUGUGCACAUCUUGACGGUACCUAAUCAGAAAGCCACGGCUAACUACGUG
Molecule: ribosomal RNA, 497 nt
Filed under: uncultured bacterium
Lineage: Bacteria
Description: partial 16S ribosomal RNA
Rfam family: Bacterial small subunit ribosomal RNA
Source: RNAcentral